UGGGGAAUUUUGGACAAUGGGCGAAAGCCUGAUCCAGCAAUGCCGCGUGUGUGAAGAAGGCCUUCGGGUUGUAAAGCACUUUUGUCCGGAAAGAAAUCCUUGGCUCUAAUACAGUCGGGGGAUGACGGUACCGGAAGAAUAAGCACCGGCUAACUACGUGCCAGCAGCCGCGGUAAUACGUAGGGUGCAAGCGUUAAUCGGAAUUACUGGGCGUAAAGCGUGCGCAGGCGGUUUGCUAAGACCGAUGUGAAAUCCCCGGGCUCAACCUGGGAACUGCAUUGGUGACUGGCAGGCUAGAGUAUGGCAGAGGGGGGUAGAAUUCCACGUGUAGCAGUGAAAUGCGUAGAGAUGUGGAGGAAUACCGAUGGCGAAGGCAGCCCCCUGGGCCAAUACUGACGCUCAUGCACGAAAGCGUGGGGAGCAAACAGGAUUAGAUACCCUGGUAGUCCACGCCCUAAACGAUGUCAACUAGUUGUUGGGGAUUCAUUUCCUUAGUAACGUAGCUAACGCGUGAAGUUGACCGCCUGGGGGGUACGGUCG
This 540-nucleotide ribosomal RNA is filed under the name uncultured bacterium. RNAcentral's name for it is "partial 16S ribosomal RNA". It matches the Rfam family "Bacterial small subunit ribosomal RNA", at positions 355 to 888 of the family's 1533-position model. The record is from RNAcentral.